This 464-nucleotide ribosomal RNA is filed under the name uncultured bacterium. RNAcentral describes it as "partial 16S ribosomal RNA". It matches the Rfam family "Bacterial small subunit ribosomal RNA", at positions 29 to 507 of the family's 1533-position model. The record is from RNAcentral.
ACGAACGCUGGCGGCGUGCUUAACACAUGCAAGUCGAACGGAAAGGCCCCCUUGUGGGGUACUCGAGUGGCGAACGGGUAAGUAACACGUGAGUAACCUACCCUUGACUUUGGGAUAACUUCAGGAAACUGGGGCUAAUACCGGAUAGGAGCUCCUGCUGCAUGGUGGGGGUUGGAAAGUUUCGGCGGUUGGGGAUGGACUCGCGGCUUAUCAGCUUGUUGGUGGGGUAGUGGCUCACCAAGGCUUUGACGGGUAGCCGGCCUGAGAGGGUGACCGGCCACAUUGGGACUGAGAUACGGCCCAGACUCCUACGGGAGGCAGCAGUGGGGAAUAUUGCACAAUGGGCGGAAGCCUGAUGCAGCAACGCCGCGUGCGGGAUGACGGCCUUCGGGUUGUAAACCGCUUUCGCCUGUGACGAAGCGUGAGUGACGGUAAUGGGUAAAGAAGCACCGGCUAACUACGUG